GGUGGUGCUUUAUCGUCAUAAACUUUGUUUAAUAAUAGUACAUUACGAUACAAGUGCGAAAAACAGGAAAUUCGAUACGAGUGGCGAUAAAACACGAAUAAAGGGAGUGUUUUAAUCGUAAGGAGUUGCGAAUCGCCUAUUCGCACAUGUAUCGCACAACGUUUUACAGUACAUAUGGACUUUAAAAUUUUCGACAUAGUUACAAUACCUAUACAAUACAAUACUCUUUAUUGAACACCUCACAUAGUUGACAAUAAAUGUACAGAAACAAAGACAAUUUGAUAGAGGUAACAACAGGCGGUCUUAUCGCUUAAGAGCGAUCCCUUCCAGACAACCUUUGGGUAUCGGAGACAAUAAAAUUAGAAUAUACGGUCGGUGGCACAAAGAAAUUCAACAAAAUAAUAAUAAUAAUUAAAAGUCCAGUAGAAUAUAACCAAACAACACAAGACAUUAAUAUGAAUAAUAGAACAUUACGAUACAAGUGCGAAAAAUAGGAAAUUCGAAACGAGUGGCGAUAAAUUAAAACACGACCGAAGGGAGUGUUUUAAAUCGACACGAGUUGCGAAAUACCUAUUCGCACAUGUAUCGUACAAUGUUUUACAGUACAUAUGGCCCUUUACAUGUUCGACACAAUAACGUAAUAUGCUAAUUUUCACACUAGUGCUGUAAAGUAGCACCAUAUGUACUGUAAACAUACUUAAAUACGUCUUCUAUAUAGUUAUUUAAUAUGCUAAUUAUCGCACUAGUGCGUAACAGUAUGUCGAAAAUUUUAAGGGUCAUAUAUACUGUAAAACGAUGAACGAUACAUAUGCGAAUAGCUAAUUCGCAACUCGUGUUGAUUUAAAACACUGCCUUCGGUCGUGUUUUAAUUUAUCGCCACUCGUUACGAAUUUUCUAUUUUUCGCACUUGUAUUGUAAAUAACUAUUUUAUACCGAGUACAUAUCGAUCAUAGUUGACAUGCUUACUCGUAAACAUACCCUUGAGUACUAUCUGUUAGAGGAUAAAUAACUUCAAUACUUAUGCUUAUCAAGAAAUCUGAUAAAUUAUAUACAUAUUCAUAAAACAAUUAAAAAAUCUUCAAUAGUAUUCGGAAAAAAUAUUUCAAAAAUAUAUACCUAAAGACAAAAGGAAUACUAAGUAUCACCUUAAAAAACAUUUGCCUAUCUUUUUGGCAUGGUUUAAUCAUUUAGAGUCGAACACGUCAUAGUGGGCCCUGAUGCGGUAGCAUCGAUCAAAAUCAAAGUUAGUAAAAAGCACACUAUCGCUAUGCGUAGUUUAGACUGGCUAGUCGUGUCAGUUUACGCGCGAGCGCUGUCUGCAUGUGUGACCAGAAUUUAUUUAUACCUCGAAUAGCUUACAGUGAGAUUGAGCUCUUUGCCUGGGAAAAUCUGAGAAAUUUUACGCGGAACAUUUAGAAAAUACAAAUUAAGUAUCUAGUCGAGGAGUUCGACAUACCUAUUUAACACAUCUUAAAGCCAGAUUACAAUUCCGUCUACUUAAGUUCAUUUUCAAGUGAAAUUAUCAAGUUUAUGUCAAGGUAGGUUGAAAACGCUAUAAUUUAUAAAGAAAUAUUGUAUAUAUAACAGAUGUUCAUAAUAAGUAAAAGCCCAGUCUGUAAUUCUGUAUUACCAGGUCGUUGGUUUACAAACAUGUUCCGCGUGUGAUCGUGCAUAUUACGAGUAUGUGCCACAAAUUUGAUAACACGUAAGCGGAAUCCAGAGCGUUGUUGCAAAUUUCCUUUUCGUUUAGCAGGGUGAGAAUUCAACCUAGAGUCAUUUUUACGGUCAAACUAACCUAAAUUCUCCAAGAAUACUUACUAUAAACUGUAUCCAUAAGUUGAAGAAAACGUGAAACAAAUAAAGGGUUAAAAUAUUAUUUUAAAUGUUAGGGUUUAUAGAGUUUAUAAGGCCAGAUAAUAUAAGUUUAAGUAUAAGUUGGGCUGUUAGAGCUUUUAAUAAGAAGUAUGAUUUUGUGCAUAAAUAAAUCUGCCACGAGCCUACCGUUUUGUUCAACUCUUUUUAUUUGUUAAAUAUGUACUUCAAUUGGCCCUUGAUCUGUUUAAUUAAAUUUGUUCGCUUUAAUUCGCCCAAUCAAUGUUUACAUUUACGUUAUGUCUACAUCUGCCAUUAUAUGUUAAAAUAAAGAAUCGUAACGAUUAUUUAAUAAUAAGAAUUUUGGCUUUAGAAAUCUUUAGAUCUAUGUCAACCAUUGGUCUCUUCAUCAAGACGAUUUUAACGGUUAGCAACUCAAUUGAGUUCAAUAAAAAGAUGUUAUGACCACCUCCCGGUUUAAGCAUCAGACAACUUAAUUUAGCUUAUCAAUCAAUAGCUCAGUCACAAAAAACUUGAUCGUCAAUUUCAUAAAUAGAAAACAUUACGUUACUGAAAUUGUAACUUUUUGGUGAAUACCUAUCUAAAAUUAUAGUACAACUAGUACUAGUAGUGUAGUAGUAGUGGUAUUAGUUAGUGUAGUACUUUAAUGUAAAAGAAAAAACCGGCCAAGAGCAUGUCUGGCCACGCUCAGUGUAGGGUUCCGUAGUUACUCUUCCGUCACAAUAAGCUAAACUGGAGCUUAAAGUAUAGUAAAUUGUUAACCAAGGGAUGAAACGGUACCUUUCACCUGAGUUAAACAAAUAGGCAAAUUUGCAUAAUCAGUACCUAAUUAAAAUAAGUCUUUUUACUAUAAAGGGAAAACUUUUUGCGAUAACUCAAAAACAGCUAAACUGAUCAUGUCCGCUAUAGUUUUCAUUUAAUCUCUUUCUUAAGCUCUACUUCCACGAUUUUUUUCAUAUUUUUUGGACCUAUGGUUCAAAAGUUAGAGGGGGGGGACACAUAUUUUUUUCUUUCGGAGCGAUUAUCUCCGAAUAUAUUCACUUUAUCAAAAAAUGUUUCUUGAAAACCCCUAUUAGUUUUGAAAGACCUUUCCAACGAUACCCCACACUCUAGGGUUGAAGCCAAAAAAAAAUUUCACCCCCGCUUUACGUGUAGGGGAGGUACCCUAAAAAAAUUAAAUUUUUAGAUUUUAUUGUACGACUUUGUCGGCUUUAUUGAUUUAUAUAUCCAUGCCAAAUUUCAGCUUUCUAGCACUAACGACCACGGAGCAAAGCCUCGGACAGACAGACAGACAGACAGACAGACAGACAGACGGACAUGGCGAAACUAUAAGGGUUCCGUUUUAUGCCAUUUGGCUACGGAACCCUAAAAAAUCAUCGAAUAUUUCAAUUGGGCUCAUGUUACAGGACCUACCUCUUAUAAAUAGCCUAGUAUAUUUUAUAACAAGUAGAUCUUGAGAGCUUAACUGCAGUAAAUCAAUUUAGCAACACGAUACAAGGCGUGAGUCUCAUCACGUGUCACAUCGGCAUCGCCAUGGCUCACCCACUAUUUCAUUGUGUAUAGAUUUCUAGAUCAUUUUUUGCAUCACACACGUCAAAGCUUUAUUUGAGCUGAUUUGACCGUACGGAUUGGAAUCAUGUCGGACACUUUCACUUACUGUACUGAUCGCUUUGGGUGGUAAACCAAUUAGCAGUAAUAGAAAAUGCGUUCAAAAUUAAUAAUUACACUUCUUUAUUUCACUGUAUCUAAUGGUUAUUGAUGAGAUAGGAUGUAGUUUGUUUCUGAAUUAGAAUCCAUUCAAUCCAAAAAGGUGUGCCUUGAAGGUAGAUUUUGCGAAUGUAUUUUUUUUUAAUGGAGGUCGCAAAUUUAUUUUACACUAAAAUGGUUCCCUGCCGUUUUCAGUAUUUUAGUAAUCUAAUCGGUGUAGGUAAUUGCUUUAUUUACCUACUUUAUUUAUUACACGGUUUCAGAUCUAAGAAAUAGGUAAGUACCUAUCGUAAACAUUUUGCCAAAUCAGUAACAAAAUUCAAGUAGUAUGUACGUACACAAUUCUAUAUUUUGACUGUAUAAUUAUUACCGUUAAUUAAUGGCCGGCUUUGUGAUUACAAAGGCAGGAUGGUCUCACGGAUCUGGGUCUCGAAGACUCGCCACUCAUUGCUAUUGUCGAUGCGGCGUUGCCUCGCUCCUUCUUAAAAUUACUUGCAUACCGUAUUUAUUUAGAAUACGUUUAUCGAGCUGGAUUCGCAUUGCACAUGACCUAAAUCAAUUUAAUUACAUUACGACACAUGUUGCUGUUUUCCGAUGUUAUCUACUCGUUGAAUUAUAAGCAUCAGUCAUUCGUGUUAUCAAGCCGAGGUGGAAAUAUAUUUACGUGCAGUUCACGGACUAAAUAAAUAAAAUAAAUAAUAAGAGUGAAGAUUUCAGUAAAUGUGUCGUCGCAUGUGCGGUUACAGAAAGUGCUGGAAUUUAAGAAAAGUGCACAUGUGCACCAAAUUCUGGGAGAAUUCAAGGAAUGGUGUGACAGUUCCAACACGUCGUCACCGUAUAACACUGUCAAUGUGUCAAUGUGACAGUUUGAGGUUGUCGGAUAGCGCGGGCCGCGCGGCCGGCGCGUCGCGAGCAUCGCGACGUGAUCCCGGCGCGCCGCCAUCGACACCCGUGAGACGUGCCUCUAUUGUUGCCUCCUGCAGAUAAUUAGUUAGCUGUUACUGUACUUUAUAUCUAAGCGAUUGGUUCAGUCGACAAUGUAAGCGCUACAUAUGUUUAAAUUGGAUUAAAAAAGCAAAUUUAGUAUUUGGUGGAUGAAAUCAGGACGGAUGGCCAAGAAUGUAAUAAAGAAUAUGUAUAUUGUAUAUGAUGAUUAUAUUGAUUAUCUAUUAUUAAAGUGGUAAGUAAGUAAUAUGUAAUAAGUAAAUAUUCUUUAUUGUGCAUCAUAUAGUUAAAAACACACAGAAAAUGAAAUACAAUUAAAAGCUAAGCAA
Long non-coding RNA from Cydia pomonella (codling moth), 4814 nucleotides. RefSeq lists it as uncharacterized. The record is from RefSeq and is a predicted model, not a curated record. The transcript has 2 exons. NCBI's taxonomy places the organism in Eukaryota, Metazoa, Arthropoda, Insecta, Lepidoptera, Tortricidae.